This 277-nucleotide ribosomal RNA is filed under the name uncultured bacterium. RNAcentral's name for it is "partial 16S ribosomal RNA". It matches the Rfam family "Bacterial small subunit ribosomal RNA", at positions 29 to 329 of the family's 1533-position model. The record is from RNAcentral.
AGCGAACGCUGGCGGCAUGCUUAACACAUGCAAGUCGCACGGAGGGUUUCGGCCCUUAGUGGCGGACGGGUGAGUAAUGCGUAGGGAUUUGUCGUUGGGUGGGGGACAACCUUGGGAAACUGGGGCUAAUACCGCAUGACGCCUAUGGGCCAAAGCCGAGAGGCGCCUGACGAGGAUCCUGCGUCCGAUUAGCUAGUUGGUUGGGUCACGGCUGACCAAGGCGAUGAUCGGUAGCUGGUCUGAGAGGAUGAUCAGCCACACUGGGACUGAGACACGG